This 406-nucleotide ribosomal RNA is filed under the name uncultured bacterium. RNAcentral describes it as "partial 16S ribosomal RNA". It matches the Rfam family "Bacterial small subunit ribosomal RNA", at positions 30 to 526 of the family's 1533-position model. The record is from RNAcentral.
AUUGAACGCUGGCGGCCGGCCUAACACAUGCAAGUCGAGCGAUCGGCGGACGGAUGAGUAAUGUAUGGGGAUCUGCCUGAUGUAGGGGGAUAACUACUGGAAACGGUAGCUAAUACCGCAUACCAUAAGAUGAACCCCUAUGGGAUUAGCUUGUAGGUGAGGUAACGGCUCACCUAGGCGACGAUCCCUCGCUCGUCUGAGAGGAGUAUUAGUCACAUUGGGACUGAGACACGGCCCAGACUCCGAAGAGAGGCAGCAGUGGGGAAUAUUGCACAAUGGGCGCAAGCCUGAUGCAGCCAUGCCGAGUGUAUGAAGAAGGCCUUCGGGUUGUAAAGUACUUUCAGUCGGGAGGCGUUACCGACAGAAGAAGCACCGGCUAACUCCGUGCCAGAAGACGCGGUAAUAC